This 243-nucleotide ribosomal RNA is filed under the name uncultured bacterium. RNAcentral's name for it is "partial 16S ribosomal RNA". It matches the Rfam family "Bacterial small subunit ribosomal RNA", at positions 57 to 305 of the family's 1533-position model. The record is from RNAcentral.
GCAAGUCGAGCGCGAAAACACUUCGGUGUGAGUAGAGCGGCGGACGGGUGAGUAAUGCUUGGGAAUCUGCCCAGUAGUGGGGGAUAACGUGUGGAAACGCACGCUAAUACCGCAUACGUCCUACGGGAGAAAGCAGGGGAUCUUCGGACCUUGCGCUAUUGGAUGAGCCCAAGUCGGAUUAGCUUGUUGGUGGGGUAAUGGCCUACCAAGGCGACGAUGCUUAACUGGUCUGAGAGGAUGAUC